RNAcentral lists this ribosomal RNA (468 nucleotides) under uncultured bacterium. RNAcentral's name for it is "partial 16S ribosomal RNA". It matches the Rfam family "Bacterial small subunit ribosomal RNA", at positions 28 to 507 of the family's 1533-position model. The record is from RNAcentral.
GACGAACGCUGGCGGCGUGCUUAACACAUGCAAGUCGAACGGAAAGGCCCUGCUUUUGUGGGGUGCUCGAGUGGCGAACGGGUGAGUAACACGUGAGUAACCUGCCCUUGACUUUGGGAUAACUUCAGGAAACUGGGGCUAAUACCGGAUAGGAGCUCCUGCUGCAUGGUGGGGGUUGGAAAGUUUCGGCGGUUGGGGAUGGACUCGCGGCUUAUCAGCUUGUUGGUGGGGUAGUGGCUUACCAAGGCUUUGACGGGUAGCCGGCCUGAGAGGGUGACCGGCCACAUUGGGAAUGAGAUAAGGCCCAGACUCCUACGGGAGGCAGCAGUGGGGAAUAUUGCACAAUGGGCGGAAGCCUGAUGCAGCAACGCCGCGUGCGGGAUGACGGCCUUCGGGUUGUAAACCGCUUUCGCCUGUGACGAAGCGUGAGUGACGGUAAUGGGUAAAGAAGCACCGGCUAACUACGUG